UACGAAGGGGGCUAGCGUUGUUCGGAAUUACUGGGCGUAAAGAGUGUGUAGGCGGUGCUCUAAGUUCGGUGUGAAAUCUCCCGGCUCAACUGGGAGGGUGCGCCGGAAACUGGAGUGCUUGAGCGUGGGAGAGGAAAGCGGAAUUCCUGGUGUAGCGGUGAAAUGCGUAGAUAUCAGGAGGAACACCGGUGGCGAAGGCGGGUCUCUGGGCAGUAACUGACGCUGAGGCGCGAAAGCCAGGGGAGCAAACGGG
Molecule: ribosomal RNA, 253 nt
Filed under: uncultured bacterium
Lineage: Bacteria
Description: partial 16S ribosomal RNA
Rfam family: Bacterial small subunit ribosomal RNA
Source: RNAcentral